AAAUUGAAGAGUUUGAUCAUGGCUCAGAUUGAACGCUGGCGGCAGGCCUAACACAUGCAAGUCGAACGGUAACAGGAAACAGCUUGCUGUUUCGCUGACGAGUGGCGGACGGGUGAGUAAUGUCUGGGAAACUGCCUGAUGGAGGGGGAUAACUACUGGAAACGGUAGCUAAUACCGCAUAAUGUCGCAAGACUAAAGAGGGGGACCUUCGGGCCUCUUGCCAUCGGAUGUGCCCAGAU
This 239-nucleotide ribosomal RNA is filed under the name Escherichia coli. Its description in RNAcentral is "partial 16S ribosomal RNA". It matches the Rfam family "Bacterial small subunit ribosomal RNA", at positions 1 to 236 of the family's 1533-position model. RNAcentral also lists the same sequence under 1 other name. The record is from RNAcentral. Lineage: Bacteria; Pseudomonadati; Pseudomonadota; Gammaproteobacteria; Enterobacterales; Enterobacteriaceae.